CCCUUAGAUGUUCGGGGCCGCACGCGCGCUACACUGAAGGAAUCAGCACGUCUUUCUCCUUGUCCGAAAGGACUGGGUAACCCGCUGAACCUCCUUCGUGCUAGGGAUUGGGGCUUGUAAUUCUUCCCCAUGAACGAGGAAUUCCCAGUAAGCGCGAGUCAUAAGCUCGCGUUGAUUACGUCCCUGCCCUUUGUACACACCGCCCGUCGCUACUACCGAUUGGAUGGUUUAGUGAGGUCCUCGGAUUGGUCCCGGAGCGGCCUCUGGUCGUGCCGGAGUGCCGAAAAGAAUGUCGAACUUGAUCAUCUAGAGGAAGUAAAAGUCGUAACA
RNAcentral lists this ribosomal RNA (330 nucleotides) under uncultured eukaryote. Its description in RNAcentral is "partial 18S ribosomal RNA". It matches the Rfam family "Eukaryotic small subunit ribosomal RNA", at positions 1470 to 1796 of the family's 1831-position model. The record is from RNAcentral.